UACGGAGGAUCCAAGCGUUAUCCGGAAUCAUUGGGUUUAAAGGGUCCGUAGGCGGUUUGGUAAGUCAGUGGUGAAAGCCCAUCGCUCAACGGUGGAACGGCCAUUGAUACUGCCAGACUUGAAUUAUUAGGAAGUAACUAGAAUAUGUAGUGUAGCGGUGAAAUGCUUAGAGAUUACAUGGAAUACCAAUUGCGAAGGCAGGUUACUACUAAUGGAUUGACGCUGAUGGACGAAAGCGUGGGUAGCGAACAGGAUUAGAACUACCGUAGUCAG
Molecule: ribosomal RNA, 273 nt
Filed under: uncultured bacterium
Lineage: Bacteria
Description: partial 16S ribosomal RNA
Rfam family: Bacterial small subunit ribosomal RNA
Source: RNAcentral